UAUAAUAUGGUGUACGGUGCACACAGGCCUUUGAAUCCUGAAGACAAAGUUCAACUCUUUCCAUUAUAA
This 69-nucleotide transfer RNA is filed under the name Amynthas micronarius. RNAcentral's name for it is "tRNA-Gln". It matches the Rfam family "tRNA". From Rfam's summary of the family: Transfer RNA (tRNA) molecules are approximately 80 nucleotides in length. The record is from RNAcentral. Lineage: Eukaryota; Metazoa; Annelida; Clitellata; Crassiclitellata; Megascolecidae.